Molecule: ribosomal RNA, 633 nt
Filed under: Triticum aestivum (bread wheat)
Lineage: Eukaryota; Viridiplantae; Streptophyta; Magnoliopsida; Poales; Poaceae
Description: partial small subunit ribosomal RNA
Source: RNAcentral
AUGCCACUUGCAAGUCGACUACUCGACUUUGCAACCGGGUUCCUUGUUUCAUGCCAAUUGCAAGUGGACCCUCGACUUGCAACUGGGUCUUCUGUUUUCAUACCACUUGCAAGUGGAGACUUGACUUGCAACUGUGUCUUUUUGUUUGAUGCCACUUGCAAGUGGAUCCUCGACUUGCAACUCUGUCUUCUAUUUUUUUUGACGACACUUGUAAGUGGACUCUCGACUUGCAACCGGGUUCCUUUGUUUUUCAUGCCACUUGCAAGUGGACCCUCGACUUGCAACUGUGUCUUCUAUUUUUUUAUGCCACUUGCAAGUGGACCUCGACUUGCAACGAGGUCUUAUUCUUUUGAUGACACUUGCAAGUGGCCCCUCGACUUGCAACCGGGUUCCUUUGUUUUUCAUGCCACUUGCAAGUGGACCCUUGACUUGCAAUUGAGUCUUCUGUUUUCGUACCACUUGCAAGUGGACCCUCGACUUGCAACUGGGUCUUUUUGUUUGAUGCCACUUGCAAGUGGACCCUCGACUUGCAACCGGGUUCCUUUGUUUUUGUCAUCAUGCAUUUCGCCCAUUCUGAUAAAUUCCCCUCUCAACAAUGCAAAAGACAGUCAUUUUUCAGACUUUAUUGCCUGA